Molecule: ribosomal RNA, 512 nt
Filed under: Weissella confusa
Lineage: Bacteria; Bacillati; Bacillota; Bacilli; Lactobacillales; Lactobacillaceae
Description: bacterial SSU rRNA
Rfam family: Bacterial small subunit ribosomal RNA
Source: RNAcentral
CNUGCAGUCGACGCUUUGUGGUUCAACUGAUUUGAAGAGCUUGCUCAGAUAUGACGAUGGACAUUGCAAAGAGUGGCGAACGGGUGAGUAACACGUGGGAAACCUACCUCUUAGCAGGGGAUAACAUUUGGAAACAGAUGCUAAUACCGUAUAACAAUGACAACCGCAUGGUUGUUAUUUGAAAGAUGGUUCUGCUAUCACUAAGAGAUGGUCCCGCGGUGCAUUAGCUAGUUGGUAAGGUAAUGGCUUACCAAGGCGAUGAUGCAUAGCCGAGUUGAGAGACUGAUCGGCCACAAUGGGACUGAGACACGGCCCAUACUCCUACGGGAGGCAGCAGUAGGGAAUCUUCCACAAUGGGCGAAAGCCUGAUGGAGCAACGCCGCGUGUGUGAUGAAGGGUUUCGGCUCGUAAAACACUGUUGUAAGAGAAGAAUGACAUUGAGAGUAACUGUUCAAUGUGUGACGGUAUCUUACCAGAAAGGAACGGCUAAAUACGUGCCAGCAGCCNGCGGU